GUCGAAUGUUUCAUGUAAGAAAAAGAAAUUGAAUCUAAUGCUGAGGGAAUGUAUAUCAACAUAUAUUUCAAAUUACUUAGGUCCAAAUUUUAAUAUAAUAUAGUUACAUGAUACUUUUUUCAUCUAAACUAAAUGUAUGCUUAUGUCUUUGUAAAAUGUAUGUACUAGUCAUGAACUCAAUACUUCUUCUAUCAAAAAAAAUUGCUAUGCUGUUGAUUCUGCCAUAUCUUUUUUUUUUUUUGAGGAUAUCUAAACUUUUUUUCGGUUCUCCGGCAUAAAUCUGGUAAAAACAAACAGUGUAGAGAUGGUGUUGUCUUGGGCUGAAAUUAGUUUCCCGACGAGGGUAUAGGCCUUUACAGCCCAUUAGAUAAAAGGAGGAGGCACCAUGAGUUCUUCAGUGGACAGGCCCAAACUAAAGUUUGAAACUCAACGAAGCAAGUGCGCAACACGCGGUCCUGGGAGCAUGGAACACUCUACCAGCAUGACCAGGUGAUAGAUAAUCGCAUUAAAAAAAGUGUCCUAGAGAAGUAUAGCUGAGCUAUAUUGCAGUUUAAAGGAAAAAUACAUAAUGGAUUAUAUUUAAUAAACAUAUAUAUUUCAACAAAU
RNAcentral lists this long non-coding RNA (606 nucleotides) under Sorghum bicolor (sorghum). Its description in RNAcentral is "long non-coding RNA (SBIC_LNC010036)". Lineage: Eukaryota; Viridiplantae; Streptophyta; Magnoliopsida; Poales; Poaceae. The record is from RNAcentral.